GUAGGGGCCUAGCGUUGUCCGGAUUUAUUGGGCGUAAAGAGCUCGUAGGCGGUUCGGCAAGUCGGAUGUGAAAUCUCCACGCUUAACGUGGAGGGGCCAUUCGAAACUGCCGUGACUCGAGUCCGGUAGGGGAGUGUGGAAUUCCUGGUGUAGCGGUGAAAUGCGCAGAUAUCAGGAGGAACACCAGUAGCGAAGGCGGCACUCUGGGCCGGUACUGACGCUGAGGAGCGAAAGCGUGGGGAGCGAACAGGAUUAGAUACCCUGGUAGUCCACGCCGUAAACGUUGGGCACUAGGUGUGGGACUCUAUCGACGGGUUCCGUGCCGUAGCUAACGCAUUAAGUGCCCCGCCUGGGGAGUACGGCCGCAAGGCUA
Molecule: ribosomal RNA, 373 nt
Filed under: uncultured bacterium
Lineage: Bacteria
Description: bacterial SSU rRNA
Rfam family: Bacterial small subunit ribosomal RNA
Source: RNAcentral